CUGAUGGCUUGUCCAGACUAAGAAAAUGACAGAAUGGACUGUUUGGACCAAUUUGUUGAAGGCGAGCAGCCCAGGAUUCUUUCACCCAAUCUAAGUGGAUUUGUCAAUUACGUUAUCAGGAGAUAUGGAGAAUGUUUGGCAGCAGGUUCUCGAUGGAUUCCUUGUAAACAUCUGAAACUCCGCUUUGAUAAAUCGACAUUUAUCUGUAUAUUCAUGUGAUUACUCAUCAGCUUUCGGAAACACAUUUAAACUGUAGACAAGGAGACAUAUCAGGUUAACUUCAAGUAAACUGUAAUGUGCA
Xenopus tropicalis (tropical clawed frog) is the source of this 301-nucleotide long non-coding RNA. RefSeq lists it as uncharacterized. Lineage: Eukaryota; Metazoa; Chordata; Amphibia; Anura; Pipidae. The transcript is spliced from 2 exons. The record is from RefSeq and is a predicted model, not a curated record.